RNAcentral lists this ribosomal RNA (331 nucleotides) under Exophiala lavatrina. RNAcentral describes it as "eukaryotic LSU rRNA". It matches the Rfam family "Eukaryotic large subunit ribosomal RNA", at positions 302 to 647 of the family's 3401-position model. Lineage: Eukaryota; Fungi; Ascomycota; Eurotiomycetes; Chaetothyriales; Herpotrichiellaceae. The record is from RNAcentral.
AAUUUCAUCUAAAGCUAAAUAUUGGCCAGAGACCGAUAGCGCACAAGUAGAGUGAUCGAAAGAUGAAAAGCACUUUGAAAAGAGAGUUAAACAGUAUGUGAAAUUGUUGAAAGGGAAGCGCUUACAACCAGACUUGAGCGCGACGGUUCCCCCUUCCUUUUGGUUGGGCUAUUCCGUCGUGUCCAGGCCAACAUCGGUUUUGGGGGUCGGUUAAAGACGCCGGGAAUGUACCUACCCUUCGGGCGUAGACUUAUAGCCCGGCGUGUCAUGCGACCUCCCGGGACCGAGGAACGCGCUUCGGCUCGGAUGUUGGCGUAAUGGUUGUCAGCGA